GGCAGUCGUAGCUCAUUGGUUAAGAUGUUGGACUACUGAUCAGAAGAUCAUGAGUUGAAAUCCGAGCACUGCCA
This is a non-coding RNA of Ameiurus melas (black bullhead), 74 nucleotides long. NCBI's taxonomy places the organism in Eukaryota, Metazoa, Chordata, Actinopteri, Siluriformes, Ictaluridae. The record is from the annotation of a GenBank genome assembly.